This 434-nucleotide ribosomal RNA is filed under the name uncultured bacterium. Its description in RNAcentral is "partial 16S ribosomal RNA". It matches the Rfam family "Bacterial small subunit ribosomal RNA", at positions 29 to 507 of the family's 1533-position model. The record is from RNAcentral.
AGCGAACGCUGGCGGCGGGCCUAACACAUGCAAGUCGAACGAACCUUUCGGGGUUAGUGGCGGACGGGUGAGUAACACGUGGGAACGUGCCUUUAGGUUCGGAAUAACUCAGGGAAACUUGUGCUAAUACCGAGUGUGCCCUUCGGGGGAAAGAUUAAUCGCCUUUAGAGCGGCCCGCGUCUGAUUAGCUAGUUGGUUGAGGUAAUGGCUCACCAAGGCGACGAUCAGUAGCUGGUCUGAGAGGAUGAUCAGCCACAUUGGGACUGAGACACGGCCCAAACUCCUACGGGAGGCAGCAGUGGGGAAUCUUGCGCAAUGGGCGAAAGCCUGACGCAGCCAUGCCGCGUGAAUGAUGAAGGUCUUAGGAUUGUAAAAUUCUUUCACCGGGGACGAUAAUGACGGUACCCGGAGAAGAAGCCCCGGCUAACUUCGUG